Molecule: long non-coding RNA, 1839 nt
Filed under: Manihot esculenta (cassava)
Lineage: Eukaryota; Viridiplantae; Streptophyta; Magnoliopsida; Malpighiales; Euphorbiaceae
Description: long non-coding RNA (MESC_LNC002056)
Source: RNAcentral
AAAAAAAAGAAGACCCAUUUAUCAACUUAAUUUAAAUCCACAAGCAAUUUUUUUUCGUUCUAAAUUCCUCUAUCCAAAUAAUGUUGGUGUUGACCCAGCAUUAAACAAAUUAAGAAAAAGAGAUGAAGAAAAAUUAAAUAAGUUGAGAUGUUUUUUUGGUCGAAGAUAAAAAUCCUUGUAUUAAUAAAGUGGGCUAAGCGACAAAGUAGAAAGAUUAAAGGCUCAAACGAAAAAAUUAGCCUAAGACCCCAGGUAACCCUAGUAGAGACCAGAAAUUGUGCCAGCGUGAUCUGGGAACGCAAGUAUCACUAGCCUUCAGAAACACCCAGCAAAGCAUAAGUUUCUCUGAAACGGACCCAAGAAUAACAAGGCAUAGCAUGCAAACCUAGAUUUGUUCAUAAUGGCACCCACAGCCAAGGAAAGCAGAAGGGAUCAAAUCUUUUUAAAAAAGAGGGCACUCCAUACCAGAGUCGAAACAAGAGACAUACUGAAAAAUAGAAGGGCACUGCCUAACCAUAACGUCUUGAAGGUCAGCACUUGAACAAAAAGAAGAAACGGGUAAAGACCUCAGAGCUGCUAUGAUUCAAGCACCAAAUAUUGUACCUCCUCAAAACAGAAAAACCUGAAAGACCAAUAAGCAGGAGGAGAAAAAGUGAUAUAGACCGAUGAAGGCAAACUGCAAAAGAUAAGGUGCAAUAGCAGGAGAAUUCGCCGUUUCGGCUACCACACUAGUGUAUUCCAUUGCCCUCUUUUCAUGUAGAUUAGUAGCUAUAAAAAACGUUUUUUAUCCGAUAACUAUAUAAAAACAUCAAUAAAAAAAAAUAAUUUUAAAAAAAUACGGAUUUAAAAGAAAAUUUACCUGAAAAAUGCUAAAUCUGCAAACCCAAAAUAAAAAGAAAAUAAAACAAAGAAAAAAACCCAAUCUACAGGUAAUCAGAUACAACUAUUAAAAUAUUUAUUUUUAAAGAAAUGUAGAAUGCAAAUAUUAAUUUCCACAUAAUUAAAUGGUAUAUUGUUUAAGAUAUUUUAAUAAUUUCUCACAAAAUAAGAUGAAAAAUCUUUAAUUUUAUCUAUAAUAUAUAGAAUGGGCAAAAUUACCCAUGGUUUAUUUAUUAAUUAAAAAUCUACAUUUAUUUUGAUUGGCUAUAAAAUAAUUUAAUAAUUUAUUAUCUUUUAAAACAUUUAAAUUGUAUUGAUUAAUUAAUUUAGUAGUUAAAUAGUUUUUUUAAAUACUUAAGUUCUAUUUCAUAAAAUUUUUAUUAUAAUUUAAAAAACAUAUGAAAAAAUAAAUUAUUGAAUAAUUUGUAAAAUUUUUAAAAAAUAGCUAGAAUAAAAAUUUAUAUUUAAAAGUCAUACUGAAGUAAUAUUAUUAGUGUCAAUUUGAAUUGUCACUAAAAAUAAACUUAAAAUUCUUAAUCCUAUUUAAAAAUUUUACUUCCACUAAAUUAAUUCAAAAAAUUUAUAAAAAAAUAAUUAAGGAAACUCAAACAUUCUAAUUUUUUUAAUAAAAAGAAUUAUUAAGAAAAUUAACUAAUAUUUAGACAUUUAUAUUUUAAGAACAAAAUUGUAAAAAAAUAAAAUUAAUAUAAAGUUCAAACUAUAAUAAAAAAAAUAAUGUAAAGAGAUAUUAGGAUCAGUAUUAGUUUAUAAUGUAAUUUAAACUAAAAACUUGAUAUUUAUAAUUUUGACAUAAUUCAAAAAAUACUUUUUCAUUUCUUUAAAAAAAAUUUUCUCCAAACCUGUCUGGGCUCCAUUGGUAGAUUGGGCCAAGGAAGUGGAUAGAUUGGGAGGGAAAUCUUCAAAAUCGUAAAUUCCAUGCAGAUGCAUUCCAUCAUCUCU